This 332-nucleotide ribosomal RNA is filed under the name uncultured Conexibacter sp. Its description in RNAcentral is "bacterial SSU rRNA". It matches the Rfam family "Bacterial small subunit ribosomal RNA", at positions 568 to 898 of the family's 1533-position model. The record is from RNAcentral. Lineage: Bacteria; Bacillati; Actinomycetota; Thermoleophilia; Solirubrobacterales; Conexibacteraceae.
CGCGUAGGCGGCUGUGUAAGUCACCUGUGAAAUUCCGGGGCUCAACUCCGGGGCGGCAGGUGAGACUGCAUAGCUGGAGCUCGGUAGAGGCGAGUGGAAUUCCCGGUGUAGCGGUGGAAUGCGUAGAUAUCGGGAAGAACACCAGUGGCGAAGGCGGCUCGCUGGACCGAUGCUGACGCUGAGGCGCGAAAGCGUGGGGAGCAAACAGGAUUAGAUACCCUGGUAGUCCACGCCGUAAACGAUGGGUACUAGGCGUCGGGGGGAGCGACCCCUUCGGUGCCGUCGCUAACGCAGUAAGUACCCCGCCUGGGGAGUACGGCCGCAAGGCUGAA